RNAcentral lists this ribosomal RNA (469 nucleotides) under uncultured Alphaproteobacteria bacterium. Its description in RNAcentral is "bacterial SSU rRNA". It matches the Rfam family "Bacterial small subunit ribosomal RNA", at positions 9 to 524 of the family's 1533-position model. Lineage: Bacteria; Pseudomonadati; Pseudomonadota; Alphaproteobacteria. The record is from RNAcentral.
GAGUUUGAUCUUGGCUCAGAACGAACGCUGGCGGCAGGCCUAACACAUGCAAGUCGAACGGUGUAGCAAUACACAGUGGCGCACGGGUGAGUAACGCGUGGGAACGUGCCUUUUGGUACGGAAUAACGUCGGGAAACUGACGCUAAUACCGUAUACGCCCUCCGGGGGAAAGAUUUAUCGCCAAAAGAUCGGCCCGCGUCAGAUUAGCUAGUUGGUAGGGUAAUGGCCUACCAAGGCUCCGAUCUGUAGCUGUUCUGAGAGGAAGAUCAGCCACACUGGAACUGAGACACGGUCCAGACUCCUACGGGAGGCAGCAGUGGGGAAUAUUGGACAAUGGGGGAAACCCUGAUCCAGCCAUGCCGCGUGAGUGAUGAAGGCCUUAGGGUUGUAAAGCUCUUUCAGCGGGGAAGAUGAUGACGGUACCCGCAGAAGAAGCCCCGGCUAACUUCGUGCCAGCAGCCGCCGUAAG